UACGGGGGGGGCAAGCGUUGUUCGGAAUUACUGGGCGUAAAGGGCUCGUAGGCGGCCAACUAAGUCAGACGUGAAAUCCCUCGGCUUAACCGGGGAACUGCAUCUGAUACUGGAUGGCUUGAGUUCGGGAGAGGGAUGCGGAAUUCCAGGUGUAGCGGUGAAAUGCGUAGAUAUCGGGAGGAACACCAGUGGCGAAGGCGAUCAUCUGGGGUUGUUCUGACACUGAGGAGCGAAAGCUAGGGGAGCAAACGGG
RNAcentral lists this ribosomal RNA (253 nucleotides) under uncultured bacterium. RNAcentral's name for it is "partial 16S ribosomal RNA". It matches the Rfam family "Bacterial small subunit ribosomal RNA", at positions 524 to 776 of the family's 1533-position model. The record is from RNAcentral.